UACGUAGGGGGCAAGCGUUGUCCGGAAUUAUUGGGCGUAAAGCGCGCGCAGGCGGCGACCGAAGUUUGGUGUUUAAGCCCAGGGCUCAACCCUGGUACGCACUGAAAACUGGGUCGCUUGAGUGCAGGAGAGGGGAGUGGAAUUCCAUGUGUAGCGGUGAAAUGCGUAGAGAUGUGGAGGAACACCAGUGGCGAAGGCGACUCUCUGGCCUGUAACUGACGCUGAGGCGCGAAAGCGUGGGGAGCAAACAGG
RNAcentral lists this ribosomal RNA (252 nucleotides) under uncultured prokaryote. RNAcentral's name for it is "partial 16S ribosomal RNA". It matches the Rfam family "Bacterial small subunit ribosomal RNA", at positions 524 to 776 of the family's 1533-position model. The record is from RNAcentral.